GACGAACGCUGGCGGCGUGCUUAACACAUGCAAGUCGAACGGAAAGGCCCUGCUUUUGUGGGGUGCUCGAGUGGCGAACGGGUGAGUAACACGUGAGUAACCUGCCCUUGACUUUGGGAUAACUUCAGGAAACUGGGGCUAAUACCGGAUAGGAGCUCCUGCUGCAUGGUGGGGGUUGGAAAGUUUCGGCGGUUGGGGAUGGACUCGCGGCUUAUCAGCUUGUUGGUGGGGUAGUGGAUUACCAAGGCUUUGACGGGUAGCCGGCCUGAGAGGGUGACCGGCCACAUUGGGACUGAGAGACGGCCCAGACUCCUACGGGAGGCAGCAGUGGGGAAUAUUGCACAAUGGGCGGAAGCCUGAGGCAGCAACGCCGCGUGCGGGAUGACGGCCUUCGGGUUGUAAACCGCUUUCGCCUGUGACGAAGCGUGAGUGACGGUAAUGGGUAAAGAAGCACCGGCUAACUACGUG
RNAcentral lists this ribosomal RNA (468 nucleotides) under uncultured bacterium. RNAcentral's name for it is "partial 16S ribosomal RNA". It matches the Rfam family "Bacterial small subunit ribosomal RNA", at positions 28 to 507 of the family's 1533-position model. The record is from RNAcentral.